AUGAACGCUGGCGGCGUGCUUAACACCUGCAAGUCGAACGGGAUCCACGGGGUGCUUGCACUUUUUGGUGAGAGUGGCGAACGGGUGAGUAACACGUGAGUAACCUGUCCUUUUCUUUGGGAUAAGCAUUCGAAAGGGUGUUUAAUACCUUAUGUUCUGUCUGCCUCGCAUGGGGUGGGUGGGAAAGGCUUUGGCCGGAUUUGGGUGGGCUCGCGGUCUAUCAGCUUGUUGGUGGGGUGAUGGCUUACCAAGGCUUUGACGGGUAGCCGGCCUGAGAGGGUGGUCGGUCACAUUGGGACUGAGAUACGGCCCAGACUCCUGCGGGAGGCAGCAGUGGGGGAUAUUGCACAAUGGGCGAAAGCCUGAUGCAGCGACGCCGCGUGGGGGAUGAAGGCCUGCGGGUUGUAAACUUCUGUUGCUCUGAACAAGGCAUGCCAGUGGGUGUGUUGAGUGUAGGGGUUGAUUAGCGCCGGCUAACUACGUG
RNAcentral lists this ribosomal RNA (484 nucleotides) under uncultured bacterium. RNAcentral's name for it is "partial 16S ribosomal RNA". It matches the Rfam family "Bacterial small subunit ribosomal RNA", at positions 29 to 507 of the family's 1533-position model. The record is from RNAcentral.